RNAcentral lists this ribosomal RNA (507 nucleotides) under uncultured bacterium. Its description in RNAcentral is "partial 16S ribosomal RNA". It matches the Rfam family "Bacterial small subunit ribosomal RNA", at positions 28 to 523 of the family's 1533-position model. The record is from RNAcentral.
GACGAACGCUGGCGGCGCGCUUAACACAUGCGAGUCGAGCGAUAACCAUGGCUUCGGCCAUGGGGAGAGCGGCGAACGGGUGAGUAACACGUGAGCGAUCUGCCCUCGACACUGGGAUAGCCCGGGGAAACCCGGAUUAAUACCGGAUAGCCUCACGGGUCUACGGGCUCGUGAGAAAAGAUGGCUUCGGCUUUCGGUCGAGGAGGAGCUGGCGGCGGAUUAGCUUGUUGGUGAGGUAACGGCUCACCAAGGCGACGAUCCGUAGCUGGUCUGAGAGGACGAUCAGCCACACUGGGACUGAGACACGGCCCAGACUCCUACGGGAGGCAGCAGUGGGGAAUCUUGCGCAAUGGGCGAAAGCCUGACGCAGCGACGCCGCGUGAGGGAAGAAGGCCUUCGGGUUGUAAACCUCUUUCAGGAGGGACGAAGCCACUCGGGUUAAUAGCCCAGAGGGUGACGGUACCUCCAGAAGAAGCCCUGCUAACUACGUGCCAGCCGCCGCCGUAA